RNAcentral lists this long non-coding RNA (577 nucleotides) under Helianthus annuus (common sunflower). RNAcentral's name for it is "sRNA HanXRQr2_Chr06g0274181". The record is from RNAcentral. Lineage: Eukaryota; Viridiplantae; Streptophyta; Magnoliopsida; Asterales; Asteraceae.
UUUGACUAUGUGAACAUAUUUUUGACUUGUAAUCUGAUUUAGUAACAUGUUUAGGGAUAAUUGGGCAUGUAAGACUUGGCAUAGCACAUAGAUUACCGUCCGAACAUAGUUUUACGCUAACGACGCAUUAUAGUGGCUUAUGUUACCAUAAUGGGUCGAAACGGGUCAAAAGCACUUAGGUAGGCUUUCCAAUCAGAAUGUUGGGACUAUUAAAUCAUACCAUAUGAGUUUAAUUACUCAUUUGAUUUAUAGAACCUCAUUCCAUCCUAUCUCCCGAUUUAGGUGUCGAUUUUAUUUAUCUAGCGAUCCGAUACUAGGUACCACUUGAUUCCUUGAUUGCCCGUGCAUCGAUAGUUCACAAAAUCAAGGAUACCCUACAAUCUCAAGUGAGUACAUAGUUCCCCUAUUUUAUUGUUUUCAAUUGUUUUGGGGUGAAACAUAUGUGCAAAACGAUUUUCAAGGUUUAAACGAUGAUUUCAAAAACGAUUAAGAUGGUUUAUACAAAACUAAUAACGAUUUCAAUAAGGUUUAAACGAUGAUUUCAAAAACGAUUAAGAUGGUUUAUACAAAACUAAUA